GAAUGGCUGGCCUAACACAGAGAAGCAUGGCUGAGGGGAAGGCAAGGCUGUGCUGGGGAGAAAGAGAGGAGAGAGCAAGCAGUGGCCACACAAUGGCAGCUACCACAGACAGGGCAUGUGACAGAACAACAGUCAAGAGCAGCCUUCCUACCUUGCCACAACCAAACAGGCCUGCCUGGCAGGUAACCCCCCAUGUGCCUCGGGGCCCCUCACACCAGCUACCCUUUCCCAGCUGCCCCCAGCUUCAGGAGCCACCUUCAAGAGAAGCCCUCCCAAGCACAGGUCAAGCUCCCUGAGCCCACACUCUGAGCACCCUAUGCUCUGUGUUCUACUGCAUUGGGACCCUCGUGGAGCCGGCACUGGGUCUGACUACCCUCUCCCAUCAGAGACCAGACCCUGCAGUGAGGACUCCAGUGACCUAGCCCUGUGAUCUACUCUGUGACCUCCUCUCCUGCCCUUCCGCCGGCAACAUUGCUGCGGCUGGCUCCUUUCUGCUAUGGGACAGGCUUGUGUGUGCCCACCUCCAAGGUAUUUGUUCAUCUGUCCUUUUUAGAAUAUUCUUCCCCAAGAUACACAAGCAGCUCGUCCUUCGGUUUCUUCAGAUCUUUACCCAAA
RNAcentral lists this long non-coding RNA (615 nucleotides) under Mus musculus (house mouse). Its description in RNAcentral is "predicted gene, 35883". Lineage: Eukaryota; Metazoa; Chordata; Mammalia; Rodentia; Muridae. The record is from RNAcentral.